RNAcentral lists this ribosomal RNA (497 nucleotides) under uncultured bacterium. Its description in RNAcentral is "partial 16S ribosomal RNA". It matches the Rfam family "Bacterial small subunit ribosomal RNA", at positions 28 to 507 of the family's 1533-position model. The record is from RNAcentral.
GAUGAACGCUGGCGGCGUGCCUAAUACAUGCAAGUCGAGCGAACAGACGAGGAGCUUGCUCCUCUGACGUUAGCGGCGGACGGGUGAGUAACACGUGGAUAACCUACCUAUAAGACUGGGAUAACUUCGGGAAACCGGAGCUAAUACCGGAUAAUAUAUUGAACCGCAUGGUUCAAUAGUGAAAGACGGUUUUGCUGUCACUUAUAGAUGGAUCCGCGCCGCAUUAGCUAGUUGGUAAGGUAACGGCUUACCAAGGCAACGAUGCGUAGCCGACCUGAGAGGGUGAUCGGCCACACUGGAACUGAGACACGUUCCACACUCCUACGGGAGGCAGCAGUAGAGACUCCUCCGCAAUGCGCGAAAGCCUGACGGUGCAACGCCGCGUAAGUGAUGAAGGUCUUCUGAUCGUAAAACUCUGUUAUUAGGGAAGUACAAAUGUUUAAGUAACUAUGCUCGUAUUGACGGUACCUAAUCAAAAAGCCACGGCUAACUACGUG